This 453-nucleotide ribosomal RNA is filed under the name uncultured bacterium. RNAcentral describes it as "bacterial SSU rRNA". It matches the Rfam family "Bacterial small subunit ribosomal RNA", at positions 340 to 786 of the family's 1533-position model. The record is from RNAcentral.
UACGGAAGGCAGCAGUGGGGAAUAUUGCACAAUGGGCGCAAGCCUGAUGCAGCCAUGCCGCGUGUAUGAAAAAGGCCUUCGGGUUGUAAAGUACUUUCAGUCGUGAGGAAGGUGUUAAGGUUAAUAACCUUAGCAAUUGACGUUAGCGACAGAAGAAGCACCGGCUAACUCCGUGCCAGCAGCCGCGGUAAUACGGAGGGUGCGAGCGUUAAUCGGAAUUACUGGGCGUAAAGGGCACGCAGGCGGUUAAUUAAGCUGGAUGUGAAAUCCCCGGGCUUAACCUGGGAAUGGCAUUCAAGACUGGUUAGCUAGAGUCUUGUAGAGGGGGUAGAAUUCCAUGUGUAGCGGUGAAAUGCGUAGAGAUGUGGAGGAAUACCGGUGGCGAAGGCGGCCCCUGGACAAAGACUGACGCUCAUGUGCGAAAGCGUGGGGAGCAAACAGGGAUUAGAUACC